RNAcentral lists this ribosomal RNA (1393 nucleotides) under Pedobacter sp. RNAcentral's name for it is "bacterial SSU rRNA". It matches the Rfam family "Bacterial small subunit ribosomal RNA". Lineage: Bacteria; Pseudomonadati; Bacteroidota; Sphingobacteriia; Sphingobacteriales; Sphingobacteriaceae. The record is from RNAcentral.
ACAUGCAGUCGACGAUACUCUUUAGCUUGCUAAAGAGGAAAGUGGCGCACGGGUGCGUAACGCGUAUGCAACCUACCUUAAUCAGGGGGAUAGCCCGAAGAAAUUCGGAUUAACACCGCAUAAAAUCACAGUACAGCAUUGUACAAUGAUCAAAUAUUUAUAGGAUUAAGAUGGGCAUGCGUGACAUUAGUUAGUUGGCGGGGUAACGGCCCACCAAGACCACGAUGUCUAGGGGAUCUGAGAGGAUGACCCCCCACACUGGUACUGAGACACGGACCAGACUCCUACGGGAGGCAGCAGUAAGGAAUAUUGGUCAAUGGAGGCAACUCUGAACCAGCCAUGCCGCGUGCAGGAAGACAGCCCUCUGGGUCGUAAACUGCUUUUAUUCGGGAAUAAACCACAUUACGUGUAAUGUGCUGAAUGUACCGAAGGAAUAAGGAUCGGCUAACUCCGUGCCAGCAGCCGCGGUAAUACGGAGGAUCCAAGCGUUAUCCGGAUUUAUUGGGUUUAAAGGGUGCGUAGGCGGCUUUUUAAGUCAGGGGUGAAAGACGGUGGCUCAACCAUCGCAGUGCCCUUGAUACUGAAGAGCUUGAAUGAACUAGAGGUAGGCGGAAUGUGACAAGUAGCGGUGAAAUGCAUAGAUAUGUCACAGAACACCGAUUGCGAAGGCAGCUUACUAUGGUUAAAUUGACGCUGAGGCACGAAAGCGUGGGGAUCAAACAGGAUUAGAUACCCUGGUAGUCCACGCCCUAAACGAUGAAUACUCGCUGUUAGCGAUACACAGUUAGCGGCUAAGCGAAAGCGUUAAGUAUUCCACCUGGGGAGUACGGUCGCAAGAUUGAAACUCAAAGGAAUUGACGGGGGCCCGCACAAGCGGAGGAGCAUGUGGUUUAAUUCGAUGAUACGCGAGGAACCUUACCCGGGCUUGAAAGUUAGUGAAUCAUUUAGAGAUAGAUGAGUCCGCAAGGACACGAAACUAGGUGCUGCAUGGCUGUCGUCAGCUCGUGCCGUGAGGUGUUGGGUUAAGUCCCGCAACGAGCGCAACCCCUAUGUUUAGUUGCCAGCACGUCAUGGUGGGGACUCUAAACAGACUGCCUGUGCAAACAGAGAGGAAGGAGGGGACGACGUCAAGUCAUCAUGGCCCUUACGUCCGGGGCUACACACGUGCUACAAUGGAUGGUACAGAGGGCAGCAAGCUGGUAACAGCAAGCAAAUCUCCAAAAGCCAUUCACAGUUCGGAUAGAGGUCUGCAACUCGACCUCUUGAAGUUGGAUUCGCUAGUAAUCGUAUAUCAGCAAUGAUACGGUGAAUACGUUCCCGGGCCUUGUACACACCGCCCGUCAAGCCAUGGAAGUUGGGGGUACCUAAAGUAUGUAACCGCAAGGAGCGUCCU